Molecule: transfer RNA, 74 nt
Filed under: Desulforamulus reducens MI-1
Lineage: Bacteria; Bacillati; Bacillota; Clostridia; Eubacteriales; Peptococcaceae
Also listed under: 3 other names
Description: tRNA-Cys (GCA) (tRNA-Cys-GCA-2-1)
Rfam family: tRNA
About the family: Transfer RNA (tRNA) molecules are approximately 80 nucleotides in length. Their secondary structure includes four short double-helical elements and three loops (D, anti-codon, and T loops).
Source: RNAcentral
GGCGGCAUGGCCAAGUGGUAAGGCAGAGGACUGCAAAUCCUUUAUCCCCAGUUCGAAUCUGGGUGCCGCCUCCA